UUUUUUUGUCUGUCAAUUUUUGGUUGGGUACAUGGGCCAAGCCCAAUAUUGCAGCCUUUUUAUUGUUGGGUUGUGGCCUUUUUGUCUAAACGAAUUUAGUUUUUCUUUUUUUCCCAAAAGAAGGGUCCACUAGUCAGAUGGGUACCAGUUGUCAUCAUCAGUUAGCUGUAGCCUUUUCAGGCGCAGUACACAGGAAUACAAUUUUACACAGAUAUAUUGUUGAGAAUUUUCAUAAUUUUGCUGUCAAAGCAGCAUGUACACAGGAAUACAAUUUUGCUAUCAAAGCAACAUUUCAAACGUACAUCUUCAUGACAUCGUACAUAAAAACCAGCAAUAAAAAGAUUACAAUAUGCCAUUUGGCUCAGAUCUUGCAUGCGCAGCAUCUCACAUUCAUGUACAGGAGAGGAGGAGGGGCUUGAGUUGUCCUGAAGGAUACGCAUUCCUGAAGGACACAAAAAGUAGAGGUAUUAUUUUGGACAAUAAGCUCCAAGACAACAUUGUAGGCUAUUAACAUAAAAUAAGUUAUUAUCAGGUUAAGCCUCCUUAGUUUAGUGAUCACCAUGAGAUAGAUAGUAGUACAUUUGUUAUACAGAGCAGCAACAAUGAAAAAAACAGGAAAUUAAAAUAUAAGUGUGGCAGCACCUAGAACAUUUGCUAGAAAGAACAUGCUUCCACCUUGUUUCAACAGAACUUUUAAACUUAAUAGUAAUGUGCAUCCAUGGUAUCAUCAGUCUUAACCAAACCAGAGCAAGUAAAGGAGCCAAUAGUUCUAGUUCAAGUCAUGUUAUCAUAUCAGGUAUUGCAUAGAGACAUGAUUCACACAUUCACAGAUGUGGUAGACAGAGAUGCGGAAGCCUUUCUAAAUUGGCGCAGCUCCAAUUAAAUUAAGCUUAGAGGAAGGCAAUAAGCGAACAGUCUUAAGAUGUAGUACCAAACAAUAGUGAACACAUAUUGAAACAUCAACCUCUCUUUUGUUUGCGAAUGGGAGAUAUCAACCUCAGUUUGCAGCAAGACAUAGUACACAGUUAUCUCUUUUCUAUGAAGACAUGCACAUUUUGAUAGCCAAAUGAGAUAGAUAGCAGUACAUACGCCAGCCAAAGUGUGCACAUAUGGUCUACUGAAUUCAAGUAAAAAAUGCAUUCUAGACUUGAAAAGAAGAAGGGAUUGCUAAGGGAUUGCUAGGUGUCAGUGGAACUGAUUAAAAUUAAGUGCAUUCUGCCCCUGAUAAUGUGUGGUCGGUUAUGAAAACUGCUGCACAUACCCCUGUUCCAUCCUUCGUGUUGUAGUCAGUCCCAUAAACCGUCAGCAACUAGGCCUACCAAUCACUUGAACCCAAACUAAAAAUAGAAGAACUACAUGGGAAGUUAUUUAUGCUGUAAUUUUACUAACAUGG
Molecule: long non-coding RNA, 1393 nt
Filed under: Triticum aestivum (bread wheat)
Lineage: Eukaryota; Viridiplantae; Streptophyta; Magnoliopsida; Poales; Poaceae
Description: long non-coding RNA (TAES_LNC003375)
Source: RNAcentral